This 229-nucleotide ribosomal RNA is filed under the name uncultured bacterium. RNAcentral describes it as "partial 16S ribosomal RNA". It matches the Rfam family "Bacterial small subunit ribosomal RNA", at positions 568 to 796 of the family's 1533-position model. The record is from RNAcentral.
UCCGUAGGUGGAUAAUUAAGUCAGAGGUGAAAUCCUGCAGCUCAACUGUAGAAUUGCCUUUGAUACUGGUUAUCUUGAGUCAUUAUGAAGUGGUUAGAAUGUGUAGUGUAGCGGUGAAAUGCAUAGAUAUUGCACAGAAUACCGAUUGCGAAGGCAGAUCACUAAUAAUGUACUGACACUGAGGGACGAAAGCGUGGGGAGCGAACAGGAUUAGAUACCCUGGUAGUCC